This 76-nucleotide transfer RNA is filed under the name Candidatus Latescibacterota bacterium. RNAcentral's name for it is "Candidatus Latescibacteria bacterium tRNA-Ala". It matches the Rfam family "tRNA". Rfam says of the family: Transfer RNA (tRNA) molecules are approximately 80 nucleotides in length. Their secondary structure includes four short double-helical elements and three loops (D, anti-codon, and T loops). Lineage: Bacteria; Pseudomonadati; Candidatus Latescibacterota. The record is from RNAcentral. RNAcentral also lists the same sequence under 1 other name.
GGGGUUGUAGCUCAGCUGGGAGAGCACUUGACUGGCAGUCAAGAGGCCACGGGUUCGAGCCCCGUCAACUCCACCA